RNAcentral lists this transfer RNA (68 nucleotides) under Diapteron cyanostictum (Gabon jewelfish). RNAcentral's name for it is "Aphyosemion cyanostictum (Gabon jewelfish) tRNA-Glu". It matches the Rfam family "tRNA". Rfam says of the family: Transfer RNA (tRNA) molecules are approximately 80 nucleotides in length. Their secondary structure includes four short double-helical elements and three loops (D, anti-codon, and T loops). Further hydrogen bonds mediate the characteristic L-shaped molecular structure. tRNAs have two regions of fundamental functional importance: the anti-codon, which is responsible for specific mRNA codon recognition, and the 3' end, to which the tRNAs corresponding amino acid is attached (by aminoacyl-tRNA synthetases). tRNAs cope with the degeneracy of the genetic code in two manners: having more than one tRNA (with a specific anti-codon) for a particular amino acid; and 'wobble' base-pairing, i.e. permitting non-standard base-pairing at the 3rd anti-codon position. The record is from RNAcentral. Lineage: Eukaryota; Metazoa; Chordata; Actinopteri; Cyprinodontiformes; Nothobranchiidae.
GUUCUUGUAGUUGAAUACAACGGUAGUUUUUCGAGUUAUUAGUCCAGGUUAGAGCCCUGGUAAGAAUU